Molecule: long non-coding RNA, 1762 nt
Organism: Ahaetulla prasina
Lineage: Eukaryota; Metazoa; Chordata; Lepidosauria; Squamata; Colubridae
Exons: 3
Source: RefSeq, a predicted model, not a curated record
GCUGACUGGAGCAUCUUCAACGUGUAGUGGAGCAAGUAAUAGUUGGUAAUAGCUAUGUAUGUGAGUUCAGUCUCACAGACUGAUAGCACUGAAAAUUUCAACAUUCCCCAAAUGCUAGUAAUAUUGAAAUCCAUCUUGGAACAGAGAAGUACAGAUAGUGCAACAAUUCAUUUGGUGUCGGUUUGAAGUUACGGCAUUGAAAAAAUGAGGGCGAGAACUAGCAAUGAUGAGCAUGAACGCCCUGCAUUUUGAGGAGAUGUCUAUCACACAGAUGGGAUCCUUCAGCUGACACCUGGAAAAGAGAUUCCACUGAAUAAACACUUCUCCAGCAUUCGGUCUGCCAGCACACCUUCAGACUGCAUCUCCCUGCUCACCGUCUCCUCUGCUUUUGAAGGACCCUGGAGAUUCUGGGACCUCUGCCACUGGGGGAUUAAGCUGCACAUGUCUCUCACAGCACAGAAAAGCUAGAACAUCAUGUUAUUUCCAUUCAUUUGCUUCUUGUGUUCCGUCAAAGGCCUGCCUUGCUCCUGCGUUCCACGCCAAGUACUCGUCUUCCAGUUGCUAUGGCGCUGCUGCUGGGUUGGUAUUAAUAUGCUGAGUAACUUUGAAUCUUUGAUCCUUCUACUUUUCAAUGCCUUUUAUGAGGUGUUUCCCACUUGAUGGCAUAGCCUGCAUUCCCAGGGAAUGAUUAAACAAAACAUGAAAUGUGGACACUCUGAAUGAAGAAAUCUGCUUUGCAAGGGCUCCCAGUAGCAAUGGCAGAAUUCUAGGACAGACUGAAAGAGCCACAAAAUGAACCCGGAGAAUAAUUCUUCAGUUUAUUGCAUCCUGUACACUGUGCGCCCUUGCUAUGCUAAUUUGCAGAGUCAGAUAGAUUGGCCCUGUUUGCGACAGUGGUAAUUUCCCUGCAAUCAUCACAUACAACUCUCUGUGCACACUGUCUGAAAUUGUCCAGAUGUAUUGGAACUGAAACUUCUGUAUGCCCAGUUAGUUUGGUUACUUGCCAGGCUGGCUAGAUAUUCUGGAUAUUGAAAGUGCAGCUUAUGUGGACAGUGCCAGUUAAGGAAAGACUGGUGUGUGGUAUUAUAAAGAUUACUCUUGUCAUUUGGCUGAAAUACAGACAAACACACUGUACAAGCAAAUAUACAUACAGCCUCACUGAUACUCAUUCCUUCCACUUAUUGCUAUCCCUGCCUGUUAUAAGGAACAAAGAGCCAUUCACUAUUUUUUUUUAAGAACGUCACCAGGCUUUUCACAAUUCUUCUACUGGAACAUUUUUUUUGCUCUCCUCCUAACUAAAGCCCUAGCAUGCCUCACUACAGAAAUUCCAUGACAUAACACAGAAUAGGGGAAGUUUCCAUGUGUUAUCUGUGCUUCUGCUUGUGUUAUGGAGUGCCAUACUGCCUAUUUACCUAAUGCAUUUAUCACCAAACUGACAACAGCCUUCCAGUUUUGAACCUUUCUCAGUCCUAUGCGGAGAUGCUGAAGAUGGACCUGAGGUCUUCCGUAUCCAAAGUUUCUAUGUCCAUUUCUCAAUACGGGUGCUGUGUCUGCUGGUAGAGACACAAUACUCUCUCUUUGAGGGGGAGGGGAGAAACCACACAAUAACCCCAAAUGGUGCAGAAUAACAAAAUAAGAGUUGGAAGGUACCUUGGAGGCCUUCUAGUCCAAAUCCCUGCUCAGGCUGGAAACCCUAUAGCAUUUCAGACAAAUGGCUGUCCAGUGUCUUUUUAAAAACAUCCAGUGCUGAAGCAUUUACAAC